CGAGCGGAACGAGUUAUCUGAACCUUCGGGGAACGAUAACGGCGUCGAGCGGCGGACGGGUGAGUAAUGCCUAGGAAAUUGCCCUGAUGUGGGGGAUAACCAUUGGAAACGAUGGCUAAUACCGCAUGAUGCCUACGGGCCAAAGAGGGGGACCUUCGGGCCUCUCGCGUCAGGAUAUGCCUAGGUGGGAUUAGCUAGUUGGUGAGGUAAGGGCUCACCAAGGCGACGAUCCCUAGCUGGUCUGAGAGGAUGAUCAGCCACACUGGAACUGAGACACGGUCCAGACUCCUACGGGAGGCAGCAGUGGGGAAUAUUGCACAAUGGGCGCAAGCCUGAUGCAGCCAUGCCGCGUGUGUGAAGAAGGCCUUCGGGUUGUAAAGCACUUUCAGUCGUGAGGAAGGUGGUGUAGUUAAUAGCUGCAUUAUUUGACGUUAGCGACAGAAGAAGCACCGGCUAACUCCGUGCCAGCAGCCGCGGUAAUACGGAGGGUGCGAGCGUUAAUCGGAAUUACUGGGCGUAAAGCGCAUGCAGGUGGUUUGUUAAGUCAGAUGUGAAAGCCCGGGGCUCAACCUCGGAAUAGCAUUUGAAACUGGCAGACUAGAGUACUGUAGAGGGGGGUAGAAUUUCAGGUGUAGCGGUGAAAUGCGUAGAGAUCUGAAGGAAUACCGGUGGCGAAGGCGGCCCCCUGGACAGAUACUGACACUCAGAUGCGAAAGCGUGGGGAGCAAACAGGAUUAGAUACCCUGGUAGUCCACGCCGUAAACGAUGUCUACUUGGAGGUUGUGGCCUUGAGCCGUGGCUUUCGGAGCUAACGCGUUAAGUAGACCGCCUGGGGAGUACGGUCGCAAGAUUAAAACUCAAAUGAAUUGACGGGGGCCCGCACAAGCGGUGGAGCAUGUGGUUUAAUUCGAUGCAACGCGAAGAACCUUACCUACUCUUGACAUCCAGAGAACUUUCC
This 958-nucleotide ribosomal RNA is filed under the name Vibrio alginolyticus. RNAcentral describes it as "bacterial SSU rRNA". It matches the Rfam family "Bacterial small subunit ribosomal RNA", at positions 63 to 1001 of the family's 1533-position model. Lineage: Bacteria; Pseudomonadati; Pseudomonadota; Gammaproteobacteria; Vibrionales; Vibrionaceae. The record is from RNAcentral.